This 500-nucleotide ribosomal RNA is filed under the name uncultured bacterium. RNAcentral describes it as "partial 16S ribosomal RNA". It matches the Rfam family "Bacterial small subunit ribosomal RNA", at positions 30 to 523 of the family's 1533-position model. The record is from RNAcentral.
AUUGAACGCUGGCGGCAUGCCUUACACAUGCAAGUCGAACGGCAGCACGGGAGCAAUCCUGGUGGCGAGUGGCGAACGGGUGAGUAAAGUAUCGGAACGUGCCCAGUCGUGGGGGAUAACGUAGCGAAAGUUACGCUAAUACCGCAUACGAUCUAUGGAUGAAAGCGGGGGAUCGCAAGACAUCGCGCGAUUGGAGCGGCCGAUAUCAGAUUAGGUAGUUGGUGGGGUAAAGGCUCACCAAGCCGACGAUCUGUAGCUGGUCUGAGAGGACGACCAGCCACACUGGGACUGAGACACGGCCCAGACUCCUACGGGAGGCAGCAGUGGGGAAUUUUGGACAAUGGGCGAAAGCCUGAUCCAGCCAUGCCGCGUGCAGGAUGAAGGCCUUCGGGUUGUAAACUGCUUUUGUACGGGACGAAAAGGUUUGGCCUAAUAAGCUGAGCUCAUGACGGUACCGUAAGAAUAAGCACCGGCUAACUACGUGCCAGCAGCCGCCGUAA